RNAcentral lists this ribosomal RNA (443 nucleotides) under uncultured bacterium. RNAcentral describes it as "partial 16S ribosomal RNA". It matches the Rfam family "Bacterial small subunit ribosomal RNA", at positions 338 to 795 of the family's 1533-position model. The record is from RNAcentral.
GCUACGGGAGGCAGCAGUGGGGAAUAUUGCACAAUGGGCGAAAGCCUGAUGCAGCAACGCCGCGUGAAGGAAGACGGUUUUCGGAUUGUAAACUUCUAUCAAUAGGGAAGAAAGAAAUGACGGUACCUAAAUAAGAAGCCCCGGCUAACUACGUGCCAGCAGCCGCUGUAAUCCGGAGGGGGCAAGCGUUAUCAGGAAUUACUGGGUGUAAAGGGAUAGUAGGUGGCAAGGUAAGCGAUAUGUGAAAGCCUUAAGCUUAACUGAAGGAUUGCAUAACGAACUAUCUAGCUAGAGUACAGGAGAGGAAAGCGGAAUUCCUAGUGUAGCGGUGAAAUGCUUAGAGAUCAGGAAGAACACCAGUGGCGAAGGCGGCUUUCUGGACUGAAACUGACGCUGAGGCUCGAAAGCGUGGGGAGCGAACAGGAUUAGAUACCCCAGUAGUC